RNAcentral lists this ribosomal RNA (959 nucleotides) under Aspergillus niger. RNAcentral describes it as "SSU rRNA". It matches the Rfam family "Eukaryotic small subunit ribosomal RNA", at positions 70 to 1038 of the family's 1831-position model. The record is from RNAcentral. Lineage: Eukaryota; Fungi; Ascomycota; Eurotiomycetes; Eurotiales; Aspergillaceae.
CACUUUAUACUGUGAAACUGCGAAUGGCUCAUUAAAUCAGUUAUCGUUUAUUUGAAAGUACCUUACUACAUGGAUACCUGUGGUAAUUCUAGAGCUAAUACAUGCUGAAAACCUCGACUUCGGAAGGGGUGUAUUUAUUAGAUAAAAAACCAAUGCCCUUCGGGGCUCCUUGGUGAAUCAUAAUAACUUAACGAAUCGCAUGGCCUUGCGCCGGCGAUGGUUCAUUCAAAUUUCUGCCCUAUCAACUUUCGAUGGUAGGAUAGUGGCCUACCAUGGUGGCAACGGGUAACGGGGAAUUAGGGUUCGAUUCCGGAGAGGGAGCCUGAGAAACGGCUACCACAUCCAAGGAAGGCAGCAGGCGCGCAAAUUACCCAAUCCCGACACGGGGAGGUAGUGACAAUAAAUACUGAUACGGGGCUCUUUUGGGUCUCGUAAUUGGAAUGAGUACAAUCUAAAUCCCUUAACGAGGAACAAUUGGAGGGCAAGUCUGGUGCCAGCAGCCGCGGUAAUUCCAGCUCCAAUAGCGUAUAUUAAAGUUGUUGCAGUUAAAAAGCUCGUAGUUGAACCUUGGGUCUGGCUGGCCGGUCCGCCUCACCGCGAGUACUGGUCCGGCUGGACCUUUCCUUCUGGGGAAUCUCAUGGCCUUCACUGGCUGUGGGGGGAACCAGGACUUUUACUGUGAAAAAAUUAGAGUGUUCAAAGCAGGCCUUUGCUCGAAUACAUUAGCAUGGAAUAAUAGAAUAGGACGUGCGGUUCUAUUUUGUUGGUUUCUAGGACCGCCGUAAUGAUUAAUAGGGAUAGUCGGGGGCGUCAGUAUUCAGCUGUCAGAGGUGAAAUUCUUGGAUUUGCUGAAGACUAACUACUGCGAAAGCAUUCGCCAAGGAUGUUUUCAUUAAUCAGGGAACGAAAGUUAGGGGAUCGAAGACGAUCAGAUACCGUCGUAGUCUUAACCAUAAACU